Molecule: ribosomal RNA, 497 nt
Filed under: uncultured bacterium
Lineage: Bacteria
Description: partial 16S ribosomal RNA
Rfam family: Bacterial small subunit ribosomal RNA
Source: RNAcentral
GAUGAACGCUGGCGGCGUGCCUAAUACAUGCAAGUCGAGCGAACGGACGAGAAGCUUGCUUCUCUGAUGUUAGCGGCGGACGGGUGAGUAACACGUGGAUAACCUACCUAUAAGACUGGGAUAACUUCGGGAAACCGGAGCUAAUACCGGAUGAUAUUUUGAACCGCAUGGUUCAAAAGUGACAGACGGUCUUGCUGUCACUUAUAGAUGGAUCCGCGCUGCAUUAGCUAGUUGGUAAGGUAACGGCUUACCAAGGCAACGAUGCAUAGCCGACCUGAGAGGGUGAUCGGCCACACUGGAACUGAGACACGGUCCAGACUCCUACGGGAGGCAGCAGUAGGGAAUCUUCCGCAAUGGGCGAAAGCCUGGCGGAGCAACGCCGCGUGAGUGAUGAAGGUCUUCGGAUCGUAAAACUCUGUUAUUAGGGAAGAACAUAUGUGUAAGUAACUGUGCACAUCUUGACGGUACCUAAUCAGAAAGCCACGGCUAACUACGUG